GUGGGGAAUUUUGGACAAUGGGCGCAAGCCUGAUCCAGCCAUGCCGCGUGAGUGAAGAAGGCCUUCGGGUUGUAAAGCUCUUUCGGAUAGAAAGAAAUCGCAUUGGCUAAUACCUGAUGUGGAUGACGGUACUAUCAUAAGAAGCACCGGCUAACUACGUGCCAGCAGCCGCGGUAAUACGUAGGGUGCGAGCGUUAAUCGGAAUUACUGGGCGUAAAGCGUGCGCAGGCGGUUGUACAAGACAGGCGUGAAAUCCCCGGGCUCAACCUGGGAACUGCGCUUGUGACUGUACGACUAGAGUACGGCAGAGGGGGGUAGAAUUCCACGUGUAGCAGUGAAAUGCGUAGAGAUGUGGAGGAAUACCGAUGGCGAAGGCAGCCCCCUGGGCCAGUACUGACGCUCAUGCACGAAAGCGUGGGGAGCAAACAGGAUUAGAAACCCUGGUAGUCC
Molecule: ribosomal RNA, 450 nt
Filed under: uncultured bacterium
Lineage: Bacteria
Description: bacterial SSU rRNA
Rfam family: Bacterial small subunit ribosomal RNA
Source: RNAcentral